UACGAGGGGGGCGAGCGUUGUUCGGAAUUAUUGGGCGUAAAGGGUGCGUAGGCGGUUUGGUAAGUCUUAUGUGAAAUCUAUGGGCUCAACUCAUAGUCUGCAUGAGAAACUGCCGGGCUUGAGUAUGGGAGAGGUGAGUGGAAUUCCUGGUGUAGCGGUGAAAUGCGUAGAUAUCAGGAGGAACACCGGUGGCGAAGGCGGUGGUCUGGGCCGGCACUGACGCUGAGGAGCGAAAGCGUGGGUAGCAAACAGG
This 253-nucleotide ribosomal RNA is filed under the name uncultured bacterium. RNAcentral describes it as "partial 16S ribosomal RNA". It matches the Rfam family "Bacterial small subunit ribosomal RNA", at positions 524 to 776 of the family's 1533-position model. The record is from RNAcentral.